UCUGGCUGUGUGUUCAGUCCAGGGCUGUGUUUCUCUGGCUGUGUAUUCAGUCCAGGGCUGUGUUUCUCUGGCUGUGUGUUCAGUCCAGGGCUGUGUUUCUCUGGCUGUGUGUUCAGUCCAGGGCUGUUAACCAACCCCAAACCCAGCUGAGCUAACUGCCGCUCUGCGAUCCUGUCAUUGAAGACAGGAGGAAACUGGACGGACUGGAAGAACUAGUGGACGGAGAGAAAGAGAGAGAGAGAGAGAGAGAGAGAGAGAGAGAGAGAGAGAGAGAGAGUAUACUAGGUACUACUACUACUAGGUAUCCCCCCUUUCCCUUUCCAACUGACUAGGUAUCCCCCCUUUCCAACUGACUAGGUAUCCCCAUUUCCCUUUCCAACUGACUAGGUAUCCCCCAUUUCCCUUUCCAACUGACUAGGUAUCCCCCCUUUCCAACUGACUAGGUAUCCCCCCUUUCCAACUGACUAGGUAUCCCCCCUUUCCAACUGACUAGGUAUCCCCCUUUCCCUUUCCAACUGACUAGGUAUCCCCAUUUCCCUUUCCAACUGACUAGGUAUCCCCCAUUUCCCUUUCCAACUGACUAGGUAUCCCCCUUUCCCUUUCCAACUGACUAGGUAUCCCCCUUUCCCUUUCCAACUGACUAG
RNAcentral lists this long non-coding RNA (644 nucleotides) under Salmo salar (Atlantic salmon). Its description in RNAcentral is "lncRNA (ENSSSAG00000092986.1)". The record is from RNAcentral. Lineage: Eukaryota; Metazoa; Chordata; Actinopteri; Salmoniformes; Salmonidae.